AACAAUAAAAAGAUGACUAAUACAAAUUAAUUCACAUGUUAACAUUAUUAAAAAAGGGAAGGGCACAAAAACAAAAAUAAACAAAUAUCAGGCAAUACCAAUAUAAAGCAGUAAAAGUGUCUGCAAUGAUCCAUCUUAAUUCAAAGAAUAAAAAAAAUCUUCUAACACAGCUGCAUUUUGGAUAUGCACUUAAAAAUGACAAUUGCACCAUAUUUAAACCUCCC
Molecule: long non-coding RNA, 224 nt
Filed under: Mytilus galloprovincialis (Mediterranean mussel)
Lineage: Eukaryota; Metazoa; Mollusca; Bivalvia; Mytilida; Mytilidae
Source: RNAcentral